GAACGCUAGCGAUAGGCUUAACCACAUGCAAGUCGAGGGGCGGCACAAGGUAGCUUGCCAUCUGGGUGGCGACCGGCGCACGGGUGCGUAACGCGUAUGCAACUUGCCCUAUACAGGAGGAUAACCCGUCGAAAGACGGACUAAUACUGCGUAUGCUCACAGCUUGGCAUCGAGUGGUGAGGAAAGAAAUUCGGUAUAGGAUAGGCAUGCGUCCCAUUAGCUUGUUGGUGAGGUAACGGCUCACCAAGGCCACGAUGGGUAGGGGAACUGAGAGGUUUAUCCCCCACACUGGUACUGAGACACGGACCAGACUCCUACGGGAGGCAGCAGUGAGGAAUAUUGGUCAAUGGGCGCGAGCCUGAACCAGCCAAGUCGCGUGAAGGAUGACUGUCUUAUGGAUUGUAAACUUCUUUUAUACGGGAAUAACAAGAGUCACGUGUGACUCCCUGCAUGUACCGUAUGAAUAAGCAUCGGCUAACUCCGUGCCAGCAGCCGCGGUAAUACGGAGGAUGCGAGCGUUAUCCGGAUUUAUUGGGUUUAAAGGGUGCGUAGGCGGUUUGUUAAGUCAGCGGUGAAAUCUAGAGGCUCAACCUCGAAACUGCCGUUGAAACUGGCGAACUUGAGUGUAGAUGAGGUAGGCGGAAUUCGUGGUGUAGCGGUGAAAUGCAUAGAUAUCACGAGGAACUCCAAUUGCGAAGGCAGCUUACUAAGGUACAACUGACGCUGAAGCACGAAAGCGUGGGUAUCAAACAGGAUUAGAUACCCUGGUAGUCCACGCAGUAAACGAUGAUAACUGGGCGUAUGCGAUAUACAGUAUGCUCCUGAGCGAAAGCGUUAAGUUAUCCACCUGGGGAGUACGCCGGCAACGGG
RNAcentral lists this ribosomal RNA (870 nucleotides) under uncultured bacterium. RNAcentral describes it as "bacterial SSU rRNA". It matches the Rfam family "Bacterial small subunit ribosomal RNA", at positions 31 to 895 of the family's 1533-position model. The record is from RNAcentral.